AAUUUCAUCUGUAGAAACUUUAACUGGAUGAUUAAGAAUAACAAAUUCAAAAAAGAAAGAAAAGAAAACCUAUUUAAAAUAAAGUUAGACACAGCGUUUACAAACAUAUGUAAAUUAGCUUAAAUUUGCUUGUUAAAGGGACUCCACUGAGGUUUAAAAGCCUAAAAGCAUAACAUUUGCAAGUCUUACAUAAAUGAGUUGGGGCACUUUAAAGAAAAAUAUAUGCAAAGAUGGUUAAGAAAUAUACUUUGAAAAAAAUUGAAAAUCGUAUUUUUAUGCUUUCCUCAGCCCGAUUUGAGUGAAAAGCGUUUAAUCGCUUUUCAUUUUGGGUCAUUUUUUUUACAAUUUGAAUAAUUAUACUAGAAAAACGAAGUGCGCGAAUGAUCCGAAAUUUUGCACUAAGAUUAGUUGUCUAAACCUACAUCAAAUGGUACAUUUAUCUGGAAAAAAUAUUUUCAGUCCCAAAAUUUCAAAAAACCUCAGUGGAG
Molecule: long non-coding RNA, 488 nt
Organism: Ruditapes philippinarum (Manila clam)
Lineage: Eukaryota; Metazoa; Mollusca; Bivalvia; Venerida; Veneridae
Exons: 2
Source: RefSeq, a predicted model, not a curated record